Molecule: RNA transcript, 6603 nt
Organism: Spinacia oleracea (spinach)
Lineage: Eukaryota; Viridiplantae; Streptophyta; Magnoliopsida; Caryophyllales; Amaranthaceae
Exons: 8
Source: RefSeq, a predicted model, not a curated record
GAUUUGGUAUGAUCUUUUGUUAGAUGAUAGAGGUGAUAAGAUCACUAGCAAAAUAAGAUAGAGGUGAAAAUUUGAAUCUUGAUCGGUUAUGAUUAGUAGGAGAUUUUGUUUGAUCAUAAGAAAAUGAGGUAGAGGUUGGUUAUGAUAAGUAUGAGAUUUUGUUCUAAGAUUAUGGAAACAAAAUCUAUAACCGUAGCUUUUGUUAGAUAAUAAGAUGGAAAUAUUUUCCGCCCAAUUUAAAUUCUGAUAAGUUUAUCAAGUAAUAAAAUAAUAACAACCUUAUUAUUAUCUUUAGUAAAAUAUGUUUUAUAAAAUAUUUUCAUGGCAAAGUAAGAUAUUAUAAUAAGGUAAUACUUAUUAGUAAUGUUAAAAGAUGCGGGUUAUUACAGCAUGGGCCGAGUAAGGCAGCAGCGCCCAGCCGUGGGACGCGUGCUGAUUGCUGGACGCCAAGCACAGCAGCAACGUGGUCUCAAGGCCACACGAUGCAAGCCCUUGGCCGGCCCGUUGCUUGCGAACCAAGUAAAGUUGUGUUUUCCUAAAUCUACUAAAAUUAGAUGUUUAGGGUUAAUCCGAAAUACUUAGUGUUUGAUUGUCCCUAGAAUUCUAAUGUUAUUAAUUAACUAGAAUCCUAAUGAAUUUAGUUAAUCGAUUCCUAUUAGGAUUGAAACUCCUUUAUUUCCACCCUAUAAAUAUGUGGUUCAUGAUCACAAUUUAUAAUGCAAAUUCAAUAUACUAUUCUAGCACAUUAAAUUCAAGGGAGAAUUUAAUACUUGUCUAUUACCAUUGUGAGUUUCCCGAGUGCACAUAAAACCUUAGAGAAUAUUCUAGUUGGUUGAAUCUAAGACGGAUCCGAACGUGCUGUGGACUAUCUACGAAGGGCCGACAUUUGGAGUCCUAUACUUGUUCUUGUUCGGUUCGGGAGCAGAUAGGGAAGGCACGCAUCACAUUGUAUGUAUACUAGUUAUGCUAAUUGACUAUGUGGCAAUCAAUUUGGAUUCCUGGCUUUAUGGUAUUUCCGCAUGAAUUAUAUAUUUAUAUUAUUCAUAACCCUACAAAAGAAAUUACAGAAAUUGAACGAAAAUGUAGAAAAUCAACGAGAAGAAGGUUUCUCUCUCCUCAAAAUGGAAGCAGUUGAAGAAGCCAAGUGUUUUCUCUCUCUUCAGUAUAACAUUGAUUUGAAAAUGAAGAAAAGAAGUGGAAAAGAAAGUUUUAUACGCGAGGCGGAAAGAAUCGGAUUUGAACCCGUGAUAGCUGACUUGACCCGCGAGAGACCCGUGGGUAGGGUGGUCUGACGCAAAGUAUAAUUUAAUUCGGUAUUUUUGUUACAAACACAUUCAUGACAAUUAACAACAUUAUACAAUAAUUUUAUGACAUUUACUAGCAUUAGACAAACAUUAAUGAAAUAAUUAACGAAAAUUAAAUAAAUAUAUAAAUAGCAUAAAAACAUUUUCUGAAAUCAAUACAAAACAAAAAUUUACUUGCGUGUUACAGCACAAAAUGUGCGUCGCCAACACGGACACACGGUGGUACCGCGUAUGAUAUGUGUCACCGCCUUGUCAACCAUGCAUAUUAUGUGUGGAACCAUUAUAUCAGCCAAGCAACUUAUGUGCGGUACCACGCAUUAAAAACAAUUAACGCUUACCUCUCUUUUUGGGCGACGGAAGUGCAGCUACGCUAUUCUUCUCUUCUAUUUUGCGGUACGAAUCUCCUCUUCAUCUCUUCUACGAUAUCCGGCGAGGGUGAGGUUUCUUCUCUUUUGCGUUGCGACUCUCCUCUUUAUCUCUCCUGCGAUUUCUGGGAAGGGUGAGUGAUGAUUCUGCUUCUAAGGAGAAGGAGACCAAGAGAGGUUAACAUACUUCAUACUAUAGGUCUUCCAAUAUAUGAAGUGUAGUUAGAGUCCAUAGUUUCAAUUUUAAUUUCUCGUUGUCAAACUUAAUGCGACGUCGUAAAAUAGUUUAAUGUCUUUAACUUUUAAUUGCGUACUUAAAAUCCUUUCCAACUUUGUUUACUAUUGUUACUUGUGAGAGAAAUAUAAUAUAUACUAUGGAGUAUUGUUAAUUAUGUUGUUCUUUAGUGCUAUUUUCGGUUAAUAAGUCACUCGUCUAUACAAAACUAAUACUUUAUAUAUUAGUGUUAUAAAACAUACGUUAGUGUGGAUGCCCAUUAUAUCCUUACCAUAUAUUUAUAUAUGUAUGUGUACAUAUUAUGUCUAUUGAUAUAACCUAACUGACGGUUUUCUCUCUUCCUCUCUCUCCCUUUCUCCCUACUUUCAUAAUACGUUAUCAGCACCAUCGCUAAUCAACGGAAAAUAGCAACGGGGUCAAAUUACAAACGAAAAAUAAAGUGAAUUUUCUACAUUCAUGUGAGUUUACUUUAACUGUUUGAUUAUUCAAAAUUUGACAUUCUUUUUUUGUGAAUCGUGGUAACUUUAUUAUAUUUUAAUUGCAUUAGUCUAUUAGUAUUGGUAUUUGUCGCAACCCUUAUGAUAAUAUAGAUUAAUUACUCCAUAGUAUUUAUUAAUUAUAUGUUGUAAUUGUUAGAUUUGGAAUCUUGGAUUUGCAUGAUAAAUAUACUCUUAUUCUUGGCACUGACAUGUAUUAAUUUUUUAAGUUAAUUUAUCUGAAACUUUAUUCAAUUUUCUCAUCACAAGUACUUUAUAUUAAAUAAAGCACGAUUACUUUGCGGUUAUGGCCUUGGAAUUACUUGCGGUUAUUAUGAUUAUUUGCAGUUAUGGCGUUUGAUCAUGAUGCAAGUAUGUUUUUGAACUUCUUUAAUUGCGUAAAUACACAAACAAACAAACAAAGUAUUUGUUGUUCCGUGUUAUUGUCAUUAUAUUAUAUUUUGAAUUAUAAUUUGUUGUACUGCUAUUCAUAUAUUAUCAUCAUGUUUAAAAUCCGUCGAACUUCCGUUAUGUUUUUCAAUUCCUUUGAUUUUAAAUCCGUGAGUGAUGAUAUUAUCAUGAUGAUAAUAUAUAUCAUAAUUUCCUUUGUUGUCAUCAUUCAAAUACUUUAAUUCAUAUAUUAUCGAACUUCCGUAAACUUUAUUGUCUUCUGUUGUUUUAUUUUCAUAUAAUCAACUUAUAAGGAUAAACUUAUUUAAUCUGUAGACGUUUGUCUCAUUGUAUACCAUUUAUCAAUUACAACUUGGUAUGGAUAUUUUUACUUAUAAUUUUCAAGUCCCAAUUUGUAGUACCAUUAUUUUAUAUAUGGAAUUAUGUUGAACCUUGCAAAGCUUGAGAUUGUGGCCUUUGAUAUUACUUGGAAAAAUCAUUUAUCAUGGGUGUUAGAUGCUGAAAUACACUUAGAUGCAAAAGGGCUCGGUGACACAAUAAAAGAAGAAAAUAAAGAAACAUGUCAAGAUAAAUCUAAGGCUAUGAUAUUUCUUUGCCAUCACCUCCAUGAAGGACUUAAAACUGAGUAUUUGACAGUUAAAGAUCCACAAAUCGUUUGGAGCAACCUAAAGGAAAGGUAUGACCACCAGAAAACUGUAAUAUUUUCAAAGGCUCGUUAUGAUUGGUUGCAUUUGAGAUUACAAGAUUUUAAAUAUGUGAGUGAAUAUAACUCAGCCAUGUUUAAAAUUACUUCUCAAGUGAAAUUAUGUGGAGAGAAAAUUACUGAUGCAGAUAUGUUAGAAAAAACAUACUCCACUUUUCAUGCAAACAAUGUUGUCCUGCAGACAUAGUAUCGAGAGAAAGGUUCUAAGAAAUAUUUUGAAUUGAUAUAUUGUCUUCUUGUGGCUGAGCAAAAUAAUGAGUUGUUGAUGAAAAAUCAUGCCCUACUGGCUCAACUCCAUUCCCUGAAGCGCUUGUGUAGGGGGUUUUUUCGUCGCCUUUUCCCCUUCCUACGGGGCGAUAUUAGAACCUUUGUAUUUUUGUAUUUUGAAGGAGUCGCCACCAAACAUUGUUUAGGGUCUCGUUUGGAAAGACCAAAAAAUGACUCUAUUAGGAUAAGCCAUUGAAUCUUAGAAACGGAUGGGUGAGAUCCGGGCAAGGGAACGAGAUGCUUAUUCCGCGAGCUUUAGAAAUAAUUCAAGUGCGUGACACAACAUUUUCGAAAAUACCCUAGUUUAGACUAUGUGGGUUUGAAUUUAGAACAAAUAUAAUUUCUACUUUGUAUUGUGACCACUUUGCUUUAAAGUUAAUUUAAGGGAACCUAAGUUCGGUUUGUCCAAGAAAUUAUCUUUGUUAAGAGUGGUGUAACCUUGUAUCUUGUUGUAUUUAUCAUGUGAGGUGAUGAAAGCAAUAAACAAGUAAAGCAACAUCACAAUAGAAAAUAAGUGCGGAAUUAGUAAAAUACAUCACCACCUAAAAAUGGACUAGGUGGGAAACCACAUUUCCUAGAAGGACUAGGCAAGUAAAGUUGCAUAAUUGAAAGUGCGGAAUUGAAAUGUGUUAUUGAAAUUGCGUAAUUGAAAGGUGCGGAAUUGAAAGGUGCGGUUCGGAUGAUGAUGCAGCUGCAACAAACGUGCCGGAGGAGGGCAUGGUUUCCCGGAGAGUACCCACCUUCGUUGGCACUGGUUGGAGUCCUUCCGAUCUAGUGUUUCGACCGGAGUUUCAUUUGCAUCAGCGGCCUCGCGCUGGUUUGGCUGAUGAAGAUCCGUUGCGCACUUUUUGGUCCUUGGCGGACCUUCACAAAGUUUUCCCGGCUGUUCGUGCCGAUGAGGAGGCCAUGGAGAUCUGGUUGCAGACGGGCCUAGUCGACUUCUGGCGUGCCAUGGGAGAUACUCAUAGGAGAACGUGCAUCAAACCCCGGCUACAGGCCUUGCUGGAGCGGUGGUGGGAUACCACCAACACCUUUCAUAUGGCAUGGGGAACUUACUCGGCCCUAUUGUUGACUUGGAGGAUGAUGACACCCACGCUUUUGUGACGGUGAUCAUGGCUGCGAUCCGUAGCGUGGACGUAUCUGCGGAGCAGAGGGUUCGGCUCUUCCUCUUGGCUCUAAUGAGUAGAGUGAUGGCCCCGAGCAGGAACAGUCGGGUGCAUAUUGGCUUCCUCACGGCUUUGCAGGACUUGAGGGUCGUUUCGAGCUACAACUGGGGUGGUCUGGCAUAUAGCCACCUUUUGAAUGAGAUGAAGUGGGCCUCCCGGACUUCGCCGGAGAGUGACCCGAGUAUUGCUGCUUUGUGGAGUGUGCUGGAGAUUUGGAUAUACGAGCACUUCCCGACUUUGGUGCCAGCUCGUACUAGAGAUGCGGCUUACCCGUAUGCUGCCUCUUGGAUAGGAGCGGUGCGCAGAAGGGUGCCUCUAGCGGCCUCCCGCAAAGCUUGGCGGGUUUUACCCGUUGAUGAGGUGGUUUGGCGUCCUUUUGCUGAUGCGCCUAUACCUGUCCCGGCUACUCGUGCCCACUUCUUGUCCGGGAGGCGGGUCUUGCUCCCGGGGGUGUAUCGCCAUAUGUGGUACUUGGGGGAGUGAGUGUCCCUUCAGCAUAGUAUGGGGGGCAGGCUUGUCCCUAAGGACCCACUGGAGUCCAUGCUAGCGCCAGACGAAGAACUUGCCCAACUCUAUUUGAAUGCUAGGGGCGAUGUUAUUUGUUUCCCUUGGGAGAAAUUUGUAGAUAGGAGGGGCCAUUGUGAGGAACUUUUGAAGAGGCUUGCUCCACCUGUACGCUUCGUACUGCCGGAGGAGGAGGUCAACCCCGAGGACAUUCCCUAUGCUGACAGGGUUGUCCGCUAUGAGAACUCGGAUGGGGAGCAGGUGGAGGUGACCAUUCCUGUAGCUUCUCCUCCGCACCGGAGGUCGUAUGAUGUUGUACCGGAGCAUUAUGCAGAUGCGCCUUGGGUGAGAGUGCGUCGCUGGAUGCUUUUGAUUGAUUCUUUGAAGAGGCAUUGUGCCAAUCUGACCAAGAAGCUUUCUGGCCGGGACAGAGAGGAGCGCCGUCGAGGUCGCAGAGUUCCGUUGACAGGGAGCCCCAGGUGGAGACUUCGUUGAGGCAGGAUGGACCGAGCUUGGAUUUGGGACAGGGGUCCGGUGCUGGUACUUAUCAGAGGCAUUCUGAUGCUGAUAGGGGAGCUGCCCCUUUUGUAUAUGUUGAUCCCACCAGGCAAUCUUUUGGGGGUGCGAGCAGUUUGAGGCCUUUUGUUCCUCCUCCCGGUUAUUACUUCGGAGGGAGCGGCUCUCAGCCUUGGGGUGCAAAUCCUUGGACUUACUGGCAGGAGAUGGAGAGGAUGCGUCAGGCCCAGAUGUUUGAGGCGCAGCGUCAGUUCACGGCGAUGUCGUAGCCUUAUCAGUACCCUUCCCCUCAGCAGAGAGCUUAUCACUCUCCCAGUACUCUUCGUAUCUCGGAGCAGGAGCCUGGUACCCCUAGGGCAGAGCUGGAUCGGGAUUUGGAGCGCCUUAGGAGCCGAAACAGGAACAAAGAUCCUAUGGUUGACAUUACGGCUGAUGAUGACUCGGACUGACCCUGCAUGGUAGCGAGUUCCAGCUUGCCUUGGUUGAUUUUGUAUGGAUUGUAUUUGUAUGGAUUUGUAUGGUUGAAUUUGAAAUUUGAACUUUUGUAUGGCUUUGAAUUUUGCAAGGUUUGGAAUUGUGGAUCUUGUAUGGCUGAAUAUUGGUUUUUGUACAGUUGGAAAUUGAAUUUUGUAUGCGUUGUGUGUGCCUUUGAAAUU